GCCGGCGUCGUUUAACCGCGCAGGACGGCUGGUGAAGGCGCGAGCCGAAGGACCAGGAAGUGGAGGUUCAAAUCCUCUCGCUGGCACCA
This 89-nucleotide transfer RNA is filed under the name Mycobacterium phage XianYue. RNAcentral describes it as "tRNA-Leu". It matches the Rfam family "tRNA". Rfam says of the family: Transfer RNA (tRNA) molecules are approximately 80 nucleotides in length. Their secondary structure includes four short double-helical elements and three loops (D, anti-codon, and T loops). Further hydrogen bonds mediate the characteristic L-shaped molecular structure. tRNAs have two regions of fundamental functional importance: the anti-codon, which is responsible for specific mRNA codon recognition, and the 3' end, to which the tRNAs corresponding amino acid is attached (by aminoacyl-tRNA synthetases). tRNAs cope with the degeneracy of the genetic code in two manners: having more than one tRNA (with a specific anti-codon) for a particular amino acid; and 'wobble' base-pairing, i.e. permitting non-standard base-pairing at the 3rd anti-codon position. The record is from RNAcentral. Lineage: Duplodnaviria; Heunggongvirae; Uroviricota; Caudoviricetes.